This is a long non-coding RNA of Solanum pennellii, 305 nucleotides long. RefSeq lists it as uncharacterized. The transcript is spliced from 2 exons. Lineage: Eukaryota; Viridiplantae; Streptophyta; Magnoliopsida; Solanales; Solanaceae. The record is from RefSeq and is a predicted model, not a curated record.
CUGCAGCCAGCCAGGACACACAACAGAAAUACCUGCAAGAUUUAUCAGUGAAAGCUUGAGAACAGGAUAGGAUCCCAGUGAAGUUUCAAGCGCGGUGAAGUACAGAGCUGAAGAAAAUAAUCAUUAGCUCCAACAACUGUCAACCACCAGCAGUCCACCAAAUAAUCCUGAGAGAAGAAGUUCUUACAGGGAAAAAAGCAAGCAAUGAAUAAACAAGGAACAGGAAAAAAUGGAUUAAGUUCCCAAAAUUUCAUUUCGAAUCAAGAAAAGAGAGGUGAUGGAAAAAAAAAAAACUGACCAAGAAA